UAACAGUAGAAAUUUUCUUUUGACAACCAAAUCACAAGGAAUUUAAAGAUUUCGAAUUGAUUACUGGUAACUUUUUCAUAUGUAUUAUUCAUGAAGAUUAAUAAAUUAAAAGCAGCCAAGGCUUUGACAAUGUAUUCUUUCCUAGACUGUAGGAACUGAAAUUGCAGAAUUCUGCCAAUAUAAUGAUACAAAUGAUUACCCAAUGGACUUUAUUUAAAUAUGUAUCAACAAAUGGCUUGUGUGAUCAUAUAAACAAUUUAAUAAUUAUUUCCCCAUCAAACACUAUAACUAAUGCUUUUCUUAUGGAACUUUGUUGCCUGCUUUAUUUAUUUUUACGUAUUUUUACUUUUAUUUGAAAGGCAGAGAGACAGAGAUCUCCCAUAUACUGGUUUACUCCCCAAAUGCCUGCAAUAGCCAUGCUGGGGCCAGGCCAAAACUAGUAGUCUGGAACUCAAUCUAGUUCUGCCACCUGGGUGGCAGGGACCCCCAUAAUUGAGCCAUCAUUGGUUGCAUCCCAGGGUGGCAACAACAAGAAGCUGAAAUUGGAAUUGGAAUCGGGACAUGAACCUAGGCUCUCUGAUAUGGAGCAUGGAUAUUCCAAGUAUGGUCUUAAUCAUUGUAGUAAGAUGAUCCAUCCCUGCCAUAUGUUAGAAGUAGCUUUGCUUCUAUUGAAUUUUUCAUUGACUCUGACUCUUAAUUUUGUACAUAAUAUUUACCUGCUAACUUUCCAGAUGAAGAUAAUAAUUACAGGAGCAAGACUUAUAUACAUGGAUCGUGGUACUACUGGAUCACUAUACAAAAAAUACAUUCAUGGGAGCUGGUGUUGUGAUAGAGCAGGUUAAGUCACCACCUGAGAUACCUGCAUCCUAUUUUAGUGCCAGUUCAAGGGCUGCUCCACUUCCAGUUCAGCUCCCUGCCAAUGACCCUGGGGAAGCAGCAGAGGAUAGCACAAGUACUUGGGCCCCUGCACCCACAUGGGAGACUCAGAUGAAGCUACUGAUUCAUGGCUUCAAUUUGACCCAGCCUCAGCCCCAGCCAUUGCAGUCAUUUGGGAAGUGAGGCAGAAGAUGGAAGAUUCUCUCUCUCUCUCUCUCUCUCUCUCUCUCUCUCUCCUCUCUCUUUAACUCUGCCUUUCAAAUACAUAAAUAAAUUUUAAAAAAUGUAUUCA
This 1168-nucleotide long non-coding RNA is filed under the name Oryctolagus cuniculus (rabbit). RNAcentral describes it as "lncRNA (ENSOCUG00000036779.1)". Lineage: Eukaryota; Metazoa; Chordata; Mammalia; Lagomorpha; Leporidae. The record is from RNAcentral.